This 71-nucleotide transfer RNA is filed under the name Tetraphalerus bruchi. RNAcentral describes it as "tRNA-Lys". Lineage: Eukaryota; Metazoa; Arthropoda; Insecta; Coleoptera; Ommatidae. The record is from RNAcentral.
CAUUAGAUGACUGAAAGCAAGUAAUGGUCUCUUAAACCAACAAAUAGUAAAGUAGCGACUACUUCUAAUGG